CCUACGGGGGGCUGCAGUGGGGAAUAUUGGGCAAUGGGCGCAAGCCUGACCCAGCAACGCCGCGUGAAGGAAGAAGGCUUUCGGGUUGUAAACUUCUUUUCUCAGGGACGAAGCAAGUGACGGUACCUGAGGAAUAAGCCACGGCUAACUACGUGCCAGCAGCCGCGGUAAUACGUAGGUGGCAAGCGUUAUCCGGAUUUACUGGGUGUAAAGGGCGUGUAGGCGGGACUGCAAGUCAGAUGUGAAAACCACGGGCUCAACCUGUGGCCUGCAUUUGAAACUGUAGUUCGUGAGGACUGGGGAGGCAGACGGGAUUCCUAGUGGAGAGGUGAAAUGCGGAGAGAUUAGGAGGAACACCAGGGGCGAAGGCGGUCUGGUGGACAGCAAAUGACGCUGAGGCGCGAAAGCGUGGGGAGCAAACAGGAUUAGAUACCCGGGUAGUC
RNAcentral lists this ribosomal RNA (443 nucleotides) under uncultured bacterium. Its description in RNAcentral is "partial 16S ribosomal RNA". It matches the Rfam family "Bacterial small subunit ribosomal RNA", at positions 338 to 795 of the family's 1533-position model. The record is from RNAcentral.